Molecule: RNA transcript, 383 nt
Organism: Argentina anserina (silverweed cinquefoil)
Lineage: Eukaryota; Viridiplantae; Streptophyta; Magnoliopsida; Rosales; Rosaceae
Gene name: ATP synthase small subunit 6, mitochondrial-like
Exons: 3
Source: RefSeq, a predicted model, not a curated record
CCAUGGCCCGUGUUCUUCAAGCGCGAGUGGAAUCGGAACUGGCCAUUCCUUGUCGGCUUCGCCAUCACCGGCACUCUCAUCACCAAGUUCUCUCUCGGCCUCACUGAGGAGGACGCAAAGAACUCACCUUUCGUGCAGAGGCACAAGAAGUGAUUUAGCAAAUUGAUUGUUAAAGGUUUCAGUUGGGCAAAGAAAGGAGAGUAUCAAUAAAUGCGACAUAGUUGCUUGUAGAAGUAAUAGUGGGAGAGUUCUGUUUGGAACUUUGGAUCCAUUGGUGAUUUGUAUUAAUGUGGUAAUGAACGUCACUGUUUUGACAAUGAAUUUCAAAUGUUUAAGCCUGAUUUAUACGGCCUUAAAUCCUUGAUAAUGUGAAGUAAAGAUUU